Molecule: non-coding RNA, 29 nt
Filed under: Cricetulus griseus (Chinese hamster)
Lineage: Eukaryota; Metazoa; Chordata; Mammalia; Rodentia; Cricetidae
Source: RNAcentral
GCCUUGAGAGUGUCAGGGUUAGGGUCGGA